AAAUCUAAAAGUAAUGAUUAAAGGUUUGUUUUUCUUUGUCUUGUAUAUGUAAAUCAAAAGGUCAAAAGUUAAUUUCUCAUUAUGAUGCAAUGUCCCUUUGUUUUUAUUCAACUUUCUCUCUUUGUCUUGUAUAUGUAGUUUUAAUGCGCCCUAAUCCAAAAAAAUGGGAAAAAAAAGGGUGAAAAUUACGUUUCUGCCCAUGACUAAAAUUUGCUAAAAACGUUUUCUUUUCUUGAGGUGUCAUUGAUAAGCUUUAACUUGUCGUUAUUUCUAUUUCCUGUUUGCAUUUUGUUUUUCUCAUUUUCAGUUCUUUAAAAUGUUUUUCAUAUUUUAGGUUUAAUAUUUUCAAAUCUAUCUUUAUUGAUUGAUCUUCGGGUUGUGUUUAGUUGGUUGAAUUUUCAAAUCUAUCUUUAUUUGUUCUCUCUAAUAAAAAAUCUGCGUUUGAAGCUAAUUUGAUGAGAUUCGUUGAAAGGUCACAAAGUUAAAUAGUGGUUAUUGAUCCAUCCAACGAUGGUUUGAUAAAAUCAAUUAAUUAUGUAUUCUAUCAAAUUCGUCAAAUGUUGUAUUGAAUUUUUUUUUUUUUUUUUUUUUUAUAAAUGAUUAAUUUAUUUUUGUAAAGAG
This 621-nucleotide long non-coding RNA is filed under the name Jatropha curcas. RNAcentral describes it as "long non-coding RNA (JCUR_LNC003208)". The record is from RNAcentral. Lineage: Eukaryota; Viridiplantae; Streptophyta; Magnoliopsida; Malpighiales; Euphorbiaceae.